UUAGAUCUUGGAUUGGUUGAGCAAGUUCUGGUGUGGCAGAUAAGGGGCUGACAUACAAGGUUAGCACUCUAACACCAAGUCAGUGAUAAAUUAUGGAGUAAUGUGGGAGUGAGAGUGGAUUUGUAUUACCUGAAAUAUGCACUUUCUUCCUGAUAUAGUGUGAGCAGUUAAAGUCGUCCGUGUGAGAGAAGACGCAUUGUGAAGAUGAUCAUUAGAUCUAAGACGGUGAUUGAUGUGUUCAGAAGUGCUAAAUCCUCUAUGUUUGG
Molecule: long non-coding RNA, 266 nt
Filed under: Lathyrus oleraceus (garden pea)
Lineage: Eukaryota; Viridiplantae; Streptophyta; Magnoliopsida; Fabales; Fabaceae
Description: Pisum sativum (pea) long non-coding RNA (PSAT_LNC013444)
Source: RNAcentral